Molecule: ribosomal RNA, 378 nt
Filed under: Escherichia coli
Lineage: Bacteria; Pseudomonadati; Pseudomonadota; Gammaproteobacteria; Enterobacterales; Enterobacteriaceae
Description: bacterial SSU rRNA
Rfam family: Bacterial small subunit ribosomal RNA
Source: RNAcentral
GCUGUCGUCAGCUCGUGUUGUGAAAUGUUGGGUUAAGUCCCGCAACGAGCGCAACCCUUAUCCUUUGUUGCCAGCGGUCCGGCCGGGAACUCAAAGGAGACUGCCAGUGAUAAACUGGAGGAAGGUGGGGAUGACGUCAAGUCAUCAUGGCCCUUACGACCAGGGCUACACACGUGCUACAAUGGCGCAUACAAAGAGAAGCGACCUCGCGAGAGCAAGCGGACCUCAUAAAGUGCGUCGUAGUCCGGAUUGGAGUCUGCAACUCGACUCCAUGAAGUCGGAAUCGCUAGUAAUCGUGGAUCAGAAUGCCACGGUGAAUACGUUCCCGGGCCUUGUACACACCGCCCGUCACACCAUGGGAGUGGGUUGCAAAAGAAG